AUCUCAUUAGCUCAUCUGGAUAGAGCAGUGGUUUCCUAAACCAAAGGUGGUAGGUUCGAGUCCUACAUGGGGUA
Molecule: transfer RNA, 74 nt
Filed under: Brochothrix thermosphacta
Lineage: Bacteria; Bacillati; Bacillota; Bacilli; Caryophanales; Listeriaceae
Description: tRNA-Arg
Rfam family: tRNA
About the family: Transfer RNA (tRNA) molecules are approximately 80 nucleotides in length. Their secondary structure includes four short double-helical elements and three loops (D, anti-codon, and T loops).
Source: RNAcentral